AGUUUGAUCAUGGCUCAGGGUGAACGCUGGCGGCGUGGAUAAGGCAUGCAAGUCGAACGCCCCGAUUUAUCGGGGAGUGGCGAACGAGGUAGUAACACGUAGGUACGUACCCAAGAGUCGGGCAUAGUCCGCCGAAAGGCGGGGUAAUUCCCGAUAGUCUCUCACGAGUAAAGAUUUAUCGCUCUUGGAACGGCCUGCGGGAUAUCAGCUAGUUGGUAAGGUAAUGGCUUACCAAGGCGAUGACGUCUAGGGGAGGUGAGAGCCUGACCCCCACCGAUGGAACUGAGACACGGUCCAUACUCCUACGGGAGGCCGCAGUCGAGAAUCUUCCGCAAUGGGCGAAAGCCUGACGGAGCGACGCCGCGUGGUGGAUGAAGUCCUUAGGGACGUAAACACCUUUUCUGAGGGAGGAAGUUUAUUGACGUUACCUCAGGAAUAAGGGGCUCCUAACUCUGUGCCAGCAGGAGCGGUAAUACAGAGGCCCCAAGCGUUACCCGGAUUUACUGGGCGUAAAGGGUGUGUAGGCGGUUAUGCUAGUCCUUUGUUAAAUCCUUGGGCUCAACCCAAGAAUUGCGGGGGAAACGGCAUAACUUGAGGGUGCAAGAGGUCUAUGGAACUCAUGGUGUAGGGGUGAAAUCCGUUGAUAUCAUGGGGAACACCGAAAGCGAAGGCAGUAGGCUGGUGCAUUCCUGACGCUGAAACACGAAAGCCAGGGUAGCGAAUGGGAUUAGAUACCCCAGUAGUCCUGGCCCUAAACGUUGUCUGUUGGUUUUUCGGAGUAUCGACCCUCUGGGAGACGAAGCUAACGCGUUAAACAGACCGCCUGGGUAGUACGGCCGCAAGGCUAAAACUCAAAGGAAUAGACGGGGGCUCGCACAAGCGGUGGAUCAUGUGGUUUAAUUCGUCGAUAAGCGAAGAACCUUACCAAGACUUGAAACCAUGACGAAAUCCCGCCGAAAGGCGGGACCUCUUCGGACGGCAUGGCAGGUGAUGCAUGGCCGUCGUCAGUUCGUGAUUUGAAUUGUUCCCUUAAGUGGGGUAACGAACGCAACCCUCGUUGCCUGUUAUAUAUGUCAGGCGAGACUGCUCCCUCACGGGAGAGGAAGGUGAGGAUGACGCCAGGUCAGCAUGUCCCUCUGAUGUCUUGGGCUACACACGUGAUACAAUGGCUGUUACAACAGGACGCAAUGUCGAAAGACGGAGCAAAUCCUUAGAAAGACAGCCCAAGUUCGGAUUGAGGUCUGCAACUCGACCUCAUGAAGUUGGAAUCGCUAGUAAUCGCAGGUCAGCAACACUGCGGUGAAUACGUUCUCGAGCCUUGUACUCACCGCCCGUCAACUCAAGGAAGCCGGGAGUGCCCGAAGUGUCCCUUUUAGGGAUCCGACGGUAAACUCGGUGACAGGGAGUAAGUCGUAACAAGGUAACCAA
Molecule: ribosomal RNA, 1428 nt
Filed under: uncultured bacterium
Lineage: Bacteria
Description: bacterial SSU rRNA
Rfam family: Bacterial small subunit ribosomal RNA
Source: RNAcentral